Molecule: long non-coding RNA, 20742 nt
Filed under: Nicotiana benthamiana
Lineage: Eukaryota; Viridiplantae; Streptophyta; Magnoliopsida; Solanales; Solanaceae
Description: long non-coding RNA (NBEN_LNC015230)
Source: RNAcentral
UGGUAGCUCACAAAACACUUUUUCCACUCUCCUAACUUGAAAAAACCCAUCUGAAUUUCAGAAAGAAAAUCAAAAAGAAAAAAAACAAACAGAAAGCAUUUUGGGUACUGUUACAUUGGUGAUUUACUUCAUUUUGAUUGAUUUUCUCCAUAUGGGAUUACUGGUUUGUUCUGGAGCGUUUGGGUUAAAUUAAACUGAGAUUUUAUAGAGUUUUGAUGCGUGUUGAUGUUAUGGAUGUAAUCUGAGUUCGUGUUUGGUAUUAGUGCUAUUUUGGUCAAAUUCUCCUCCUGUUUGGUACCUGGGCUAUUGAUCCGUUUUCUGGCUGAGUUUACUGCUGUGGUUCAAUUGUUUUUGCUGCCUGCUGAUGAUUUUUCUUCUCUUUAUUGUUUCAUCUUUCCAGGUACUUCGCUUGACCUUGACAGCUGUAAUAUAAAUUAUGAAGCAUGGGUUUGAAACUGAAUAUGAAAUGACAUUUUGAUUCGAAAUCUUAAACUGAUUCAUUUUGUAAUAUGUCAGUUAGUUCAAUGUGUAUUUGGAGUUGUUUCAUCGAUCAAGAUUUGGUCCAGAGAAAGGAAUUGCAAUAGUAUUGUAAUAUGUGGGUUGUUUUAGGAUAUAUUUGUUUAUGAAUACUUGAAUUAGUGAUACAGCUGGACGCCUAGCCAUUAUAAAAGGUUCAAUGAUUUUUGCGUUUACUAAAGUGUGCUAUAUCAAUAAGUUGUGACUAAUUAGAUUUAACACUGAUGUUUUAGCUUGGUAUUAAAAUGUUUAGCGUUAAUGUACACAAAUUUGGGCUGUCCUUUUAAUAUUCUCUGAAAAUUUUAAAACCAAGAACUUAGGCAAGGCGUUGGGUUUGGCGUUAGGUUAAUCACUGACCUGUAGUGAAUCGACCACAGGUCUCGGGCCGUUUUGAAGCCGUCGGGUGUCCCAAUUCUUUGGUUGAGUUGUACUGCUAAGUGCAAUUCCUAUUUUUGCCCAAUAACUAAAUUCUCAUAGUUAAGUUUUCCCUUUUGUAGAAAUGCUUAAUUAAACAAAAGUGUAGUCACUUUUUUUUAGGAUUGACAUGUUAAUAUAUGUAGAGACGAGCCUCGUCAAAUAAAAAUAAAUGCGGGGCCCUCAAUAAUGGUUACAUAAAAUUACUUAGAAAUCGGGAGGGUCGUUUAGCGAUUUUCGCGGCCUUCCCCAAAUAAUAUUGUAAUAGAAUCUUUAGACUCGUUUUACUUAAAGUACCUUAUUAAAUUCGGGUGUGCAUUUAUGCAACCCAAAUCCAAAUCUCGAUGAAGUCGAACUUUGUUGAUAACCACAGGUGCCUUGAUGGCGACGAGGUUAGAAACGCGUUUUCAUGACGUUGUCAUUCUUAUAAACAAAUAAUGAUCGAAACGUGGUUCAGAAAUGGAGACAAGCCUCACCGAACAAAAUAAAUGUGGGGCUCUCAGUAAUUGAUUAUUAAAAAUGAUUAGAAUUUGGAAGGGUCGUUUAGUGAAUUUCAACGGCCUUUCCUAAACAAUAUUACGUUAGAACCUUUAAGCACGAUUUAAUUAAAUUUAUCUUCUUAAAUUCGGGGUGCGCAUUGAUGUGACCCAAAUCCAAAUCUCGAUGAAGUCUAAAUGUGUCAAUGACUAUGGGUGCCUUGAUGGAUACGUGGUCAAAGACACGUUUUCAUGACGUCGCAAGUCUUUUAAAAUUAAUAAUGGUGAAAGCGGUUUAUUAAUAAAAAGGCACAUAGGCUAGAAUGUAUUAAAAAUCAGAUAAAAUCAAUACAACAGUUGAGCGACCGUGCUAGAAACACGGAACCCGGGAAUGCCUAACACUUUCUCCCGGGUUAACAGAAUUCCUUAUUCGAUAUUCUGGUUCGCGGACUGUUAACAGAGUCGUAACCUUCCUCGGUUCGGGAUUAAAAUCGGUGACUUGCGACUCUGAAUAAUUAAUAAUAAAUCCCGUCCUCAUUGUCCUUUAAUUGGGAAAAUCCCUUUACGCCCUUUUACGGGGGUGUAUUGUGAAAAAGGAGGUGUGACAGCUCUGGCGACUCUGCUGGGGACAAGAACCCAGAACGUUUUGUUCAGGGUUCAGAAUGCGAGCUUAGAUAAAUUGUUGUAUUAUGUUAUAUCUGACUUUAAUACAUGCUUUGUGCUUAAUAUGCUAACUGUUACCGCUUUGAAAUAAUUUGAACUGUAUAUAAACUUUGCCGACACCCUUCUCUCUCUACCUCCGGUGAUGUGCUUACUGGUUGAGACUCCUUAUUUUGUUAGUGUCAUACCCUGAAAUAAGUAAGAGGCCGGAUAAGUUAUGAAGCCGGACGACCCCGCGGGUCACCUUUAAGUUUCCCCCUCCUCGAUUCGAGCAGUCCGCUCGGGCACACUAUCUAGAACACCGACCCAGAUUUUCAUAGAAUAACUCGGAUCCCUAAUAGGAGCGCUUAUUUGCAUAAUGUUGCAUUUGACUUAGGGGAGUCAACAUAGAGGUUGGGUCCGUCUAGGCCUAGCAACCUGAAAUGAAAAAUACCAUCCUGGUGCAUCCUACUUGUUCUGUGCAUUUAUUUGUUCGAACCUACAUGUUGACCGGUUUUGAAUCUUGGAAUGUCGGAAUGUGAGAAAAAUCAAAAAUAGAGAAAAUGAGAGAAAUAGCCGUUAGGGAGUUAAUAUUUGAAUAAAAUCAAAUGCCCAAGUACUGUCGAAACUAUGAGAAUGUGAGAAAAAUUAAAAAAUAGAGAAAAUGAGAGAAAUAGCCAUUAGGGAGUUAAUAUUUGAAUAAAAUCCAAUGCCCAACUACUGUCGAAACUCUGCCGAAAUUUUGAAAAAAAAAGAAAAAAGAAAAUGUUUUUUAUGUAGUUUGUGUUAUUAAAAGCAAAAGAAAAAAAAAUGAGUCUUUUAGUUUAGGAAAAAUUGUUUGAAAAAUAGAAAAAAUGAUCAUUUUGAUCUGAUUUCAAAAUUAAGAAAACUGAGAAAAGCUUGGAGAAAGUUUUGUUUUAAAAAUUUUAGUUAGUUUAUUUGCCCAAACUACGCUGGUUUGAUUCUCACAAGGUGUGGGAUAUGUAGGCAACCCUCAUCGGGUCCAAACUGUCUUUCGAAAAAUAGCCAAAAUGUCAAAAAAAAAAUCAAUUUGCAUCAUAAAUAAGUUAGGUAACGCUAUUUUAAGAAUAGCUAAAUGCUCCCAAACGGGACCCCGGAAAGUUGACUCCAUAAACGGUCAGCUUUGGUUAUGUUUUGAUUUUUGACCCCCCAAAGCCUUAAAUUUUUCGUCCCUCGAGGUGAUGAAAGGCCGUAUUUACAAUAGCGGGUCAAUUAUUUUAAAUUUAAAAAUAUAAAAAGAGUCAUAGAAGUCGAGUGAUGUUUUUGCAAAAUAGCCGAACGUUCCCAAACGGGACGCCGGAAGGCUGACCUUGCAUAAAUGGCCACUUUUAGUCAUGAUUUGAUUUUUGACCCUCACCGCCUUAAAUUCGCGUCCCCGAGGCGUUGAAAGGCCAUGUUUGCAAUAUCGGAUCUUUUAUUUUAAUUUGAGAAGCAAGAAGAGUCGUAGAAAAGUUGAGCAAGGUCGUUUUGUCAUAAAUAGUCGAAUGUUCCCAAAAGGGGCGCCGGAAGGCUGACUUUGCAAAAAAGGUCAUUUUUGAUAGGUUAACUCGCACAGCCUUUAAAUAUUCGUCCCCGAAGUGCUAAAAGGUCGUGUUUUGAAAAUCGAGAUUUUCUUUGUUUUUAAAAAAAAUCGAAAGAGAAUAUAGAUAGUUUUAUUUUUUUGAGUCCAAUAUAAGUUUUUCUUCUUUCUUAAUCUCCUUAAUAAAUGUGCAUGAUGAGCACAACGGAAAAUGAGCCUUUUUCAAUAAUGACAAAAGUCCCUUUCGAGUUGAAAUUAUGAUGGAACGACUUGGGCAAAGAAGGACAGGAUGAAGUAAACAAAUAUCUGAAGGGUCUCACGGGUUUAUUAGACAUCAAUCCUCGGGGUGAUAUCAUCAGAGCACUCGUUACUUUCAGGGACCCGACACAUAAUGUUUUCUACUUCUCGAAUUUUGAGUUAACUCCAACUUUGGAAGAAAUAGUUGGGUACAUCGGAAAUGCUGAGAUUCCACUAAAAGAACAAUAUCUAGUUGCUCCAAGAACCAUCACAGUGCAGUGGGUUUUAGAUAUGUUUAAGAUACCCAGGGCGGUUCACAAUCCAGACUUGGCGCAGGGUUUCUGCACUCCCCAAUUCAUAUACGAUAGAUACGGCCAUGUGGGAGGGUUCAACAACCCGGAUAUCAGGCUAUGCAGUAAAAAUAACCAAUGGAAGUGGGAUGAGCACAGAAGAGUGGCCUUCAUGAUAACCUUUUUGGGCAUCUUAGUAUUCCCAAGGAAGUAUGGGAAUAUUGAUAUAAAGGUGGCCGGGAUCGUUAGUGCUUUGCUUAGCCAAGAUGGAAGUAGAAAUAACAGGCGGAAGUGGGAUGAGCACAUAAGAGUGGCCUUCAUGAUAACCUUUUUGGGCGUCUUAGUGUUCCCAAAGAAAGAUGGGAAUAUUGAUAUAAAGGUGGCCGGGAUCGUUAGCACUUUGCUUAGCCAAGAUGGAAGUACUCUUGCACCUAUGAUCGUGUCCGACCUAUUUCGAGCUCUUACUGCCUGUAAAGCCGGGGGCACAUCUUAUGACGGGGGGAAUAUGUUGUUACUGAUGUAGAUGAUCGAGCAUAUGUGCCACCGUUCCCAGUUUUUGAGUUAUGGUUCGCCCGAUAAAACUUGUAUUGGAGAGUUUUACACUAGAACUGAUGGGGAUAGUUUGCCUGACCNNNNNNNNNNNNNNNNNNNNNNNNNNNNNNNNNNNNNNNNNNNNNNNNACCUAGUUCAUGAGUUAUGGUUCGCCCGAUAAAACUUGUAUUGGAGUGUUUUACACCAGAACUGAUGGGGUUAGUUUGCCUGAAGGUGUAAAGGCAUUGGUAUCGUACUUCCGGAAGCUCAAGGUCAAUCAAAUAUAGUGGACUUUGGGAUGGUUGCCCGUGGGACAAAUCAUAUACAUGUCAGCUGUCGGGUCACAUAUUCUUCUGAUGGGGCUGAAUAACAUCCAGCCAUACGAUCCUUAUCGGGUUUUCAGACAACUCGGAAGAUAUCAAAUAAUCCCACCAGAGGAGGAUUUGAGCACUCAGGUGAUUGAGAUUAGCCUUGAUGGACAGUUUCCUGAAGCAAGAGUUGCCGAGUGUGGAAUGAAGGCCGAUGCUUACAAGAAGAUACUUGUGUGCUGGAUCGGGCCAGGGGUGAAGUGGCGCCAAAUUACCUAAUGUGGUACAAGAGAGAACUUGAACAUCAGAGGCCAGCUAAAAGACCUCACGUCCAAGAUUUUGUUGAAACAUCACGAGAGCAGUGGGAUUAGUUAAGAAAAUAAGAGAGUUGCCGAGCUGAGAUUAGGAAGUUGAAGCAGCAAGUAGAAAGUUUGAAAUUCUAAAAUAGUGUGAGAAGAAGGUUACCGAGUUGAGAUUGGGAAGCUGAAGAAACAAGUAGAAAGUUUGAAAUUCGAAAACAGUAUGCAAGUCGCUGCGGAUCAAGGUGAAAAGAAUAAAUUGACCCAAGAAAACGCAGAGCUUAAGGCCCAGAUCCAACAAUUGAGAGCAACCGUUGAUAAACAACCGAGGAGUCAAUCAGAUGAAUGAUUGAUAAAAGGGUUAAGAAAUGAGGUUAGGGAGUGCCAGGAUGAGUUAGAAAAAUCUGAGAGUGUCAUGUCAGGGCUCAAAACACGAUGGGCUACAAGAGCAGCGGAGCGUCGCUAAUACUUGAAUCAACUCAAAAGGGACCACGAGAAAGUUGUUGACAAUCUAAAGAGAAAAGUGGCUUCCCUUGAGGGUAAAGAGAUCAGGCAGGCCAGUGAUUUCGAGAUCGAAAGUGGACAGUGUUAUGAUUUGUUGGCCCGAAUGGAGGUAGAGGUGCAACAAUUGCAAAAUCAACACCUACAAGAUUCUCGGGCAUUAAAGACGUGCACCGACCAGAUAGAACGCUUGUAUACAGAAAAGAGGCAAACAAGGGACCGGAUUAGAGCCAUUGCUUGUGAUAUUUUCAGGAGAUGCCGGGUCUGUGAGGAUAUGACCCAUACAACUUUCGUUCAAGCAGUGCGGAUCUAUGUGAAUCGAACAAUGAAUGAUUUAGAUCACCUCGAAUGGGACUUGGGACCUAGGCCCGCGACGAGGCCGAACGAUGCCCCGCGGGCACCUAGAUUUGAUUCAUUAGAGUAUACACAGGUUGUGUCUGUAUCUUUUUCUAUUUCGAGUCUGUUCGACCGUUGUUUUUCAUGUCAAAAUGAGUCUGUAGUUUGAAGUUGGUAUUUGGUCUUAGUUUGUGUCUGUCUUCCUUUCGCAAAAAUGUUUAGUUUGUAAUAAUUUGUGUUAGUAAUGAAAAUUUGAAAAUUCCCAAAAACAAUUACAUAUUAUUUUCGCAUUUAUUUUCACGAACUACGCUUGGUCUGAUUCGUGCGGGGUCACGAUACGUAUACAAUCUCCAUAGGAUUCGACCGUAGUCGUAUACAAAAAGAAAAAGAAAAAAAUGGAGGUAAAAGAAAAGAAAUAAAGAUAAAUGGAAAAACAAAGGCGAGAAUAAAAGAAAAAGAAAGAAAAAGAAGAGCGGAAAAGCAAAGGUAAGAAUAAGAGCGGAAAAAGAGCAAGAGCGGAAAAACAAAGGUAAGAAUAAGAAAAGGGAAAAGAAAGAAAAGAGCGAAAUAGAAUGAGAAAAUGAAACAAAAAAUGAAUGUUGGGAUGAUACAUGUGGGCGAACAAAUGCAUAAUAUAAAUGAUUAAGUGUAUAGGUGCAUUCAUGCCAAUGUGCGGUUAUCAAUCUGUUAAAGCCUAAUCGUUAACGAAGUGGUUGUUUUAAAUGUGUGAGUAUAGGCAGGUGGUUAGUUGAUUGGCAAUUCUAGAAACUUACCAGUACAACACCCGGUCGAAAGAUAAAGAAAUGAAUGGACAGGAUUCGGAUACUAGUAUUGUGGACCCCACGAAAGAGUUCGAGGUGACCGAUGUGGGGGCUAUGAAAGAAGAGAUGAAGAAGUUGAAAGCCCAAAUGGAUGCCAUGCACCAGGCUUGGUCUCAAGGGCACCCAACACCAUUAUACCCCGCCAACCCCUCUUAUAUCCCGCACCUAGUGCAGGCUCAGGAGCCUCCCACUCCCGAAACAUCUCCACCAUUCCAGUAUAAUACCCAAGGGUAUGCCAUUACUUCAUACGCUCCACCAGCUCCACCACCCAAACAAAAUCCUCCUCCACCUACUCCCGAAACAUCUCCACCCUUCCAGUAUAACACCCACGGGUAUGCCACUACUUCAUACGCUCCACCAGCUCCACCACCCAAACAAAAUCCUCCUCCGCUCGUGGCUCCAAUAUUUGUGGCUCCCUCUUCAGCUCCAUUACAAAGGUCAUCUAGUGAACCACUAUUCCAAGCCCAUGACACCAAAUACUACCCUCCUGAACCCACUUUUAAGGCUCCUGAGCCAUAUUCAUAUACCCCUCACUUUAAGAUCCCAGAGGCAGUGGUUAAACCAAUUAAGAAUGCUGAGCAUGAGGACGUGAUUAGAAAGUUCAAAAGCCUGGAGCAAUUCUUCAGGAACAUGCACGGGUUGGGCAGUCAAGUUAGUGUUGGCUAUAAAGAUUUGUACCCUUUCCCUGACGUCUAGUUACCCGCAGGGUUCAAGAUCCCUAAAUUUGACCUGUACGAGGGACACGGCGACCCGGUGGCUCACCUGCGAGGAUUCUGCAGUAAGAUGAGAGGUGCUGGGGGAAAAGAUAAAUUACUGAUAGCCUACUUCGGUCAAAGCCUGAGCGGGUCUGCAUUGAAGUGGCACAAGACAGGACCCUAACCGAUGGUAUACAUGGGAUGAUCUGGCACAGGCGUUCAUUGGCCAUUUUCAAUACAACCUCGAGAUAGUCCCUGAUCGUCUGUCAUUGUUGAAAUUUGAGAAGAAGCCAGGAGAAAGCUUUAGAGAAUUUGGUUUCCGAUGGAGGAAACAAGCAGCCAGAGUCGAUCCCCCAAUUAGGGAAAACGAGAUGGUAUAGUACUUUCUGCAAACGUUGGAGCCGACAUACUUCGGUCAUCUAGUGAUGUCUGUGGGUAAAUCAUUCAAUGAAGUAGUAAAGAUGGGCGUCAUCAUUGAAGAGGGUUUAAAGUCUAACAAAAUCUUGAGUUAUUCAGCACUGAAAGCAACCACGCAGGCCAUACAAAAUGGUACUGGUGGUGUGCUGGGAAAGAAGAAAAAGGCAGAAGUGGCCACAACAGAAGCUAGCACCUGGUCCAGGCCCAGCAAUCCUCCACCCUACUAUAGCCAACCCAGACCCCACCACCCAAACUACCUAUAUACACCAUACGAUGCACCACAACAUUACUACCCACCACCAGAACCACACUUCUCUGUCCAUCAUGCCCAUACAUACACUCAGCCUCCGGCGCACUCGGAAUGGCGUGCACCGAUUCCCCAAAACACAUAUACACCUCCACAAAACACCCAUCCACACUCCUCAUACGACCCACCACAUCAUUACUACCCACCACAAAAACCACACUUCUUUGUCCACCAUGCCCAGACAUACACAGCCUCCGCCGCACCUGCAAUGGCGUGCACCGGUUCCCCAAGACAUAUAUACACCUCCACAAAACAGCCAUCCACACCCCAGGGCUAACAGACCACGACCUUGCUUUCGCCCGAACCAAAAUUUUCGGAAUGAGAGGGGCCCAAACAGAAGAAAUUUUACCCCAUUGGGAGAAUCUUACACUGUUUUAUUCCAUAGACUGAAACAGUUGGGAAUGUUAACCCCAAUCGAGCCAAAAGUACCAAACCCACCUCCCAGAAACCUGGGCCAAUCCGUUAGCUGUGAGUAUUGCUAUGGAAUGCCGGGGCAUGAAACUAAAAAAUGUUGGAAGUUGAAGAGUGCGGUGCAGGAGCUUAUUGACAAUCGCCGUAUUGAAGUACAAGCCCCGGAGGCAUCAAACAUCAAUUAGAAAUCGCUGCCAGCAUAUCACGAGACUAACAUGAUUGAGUUGGUGCAUAAGGGUGGAGAGGUGAAGAAACCCUCACAAACCGUGAUGAUGAUUCGUGCUAUUGAGACCAGUUCAAAAGAGAAUCUGACUGGGGGACAUGCAGGGAUGAAGUUGAAAGGUACAAGUGACAAGCCAGUGGCAGUGAUGGGGAAAUCAUUUUCUGUUGUUUUAGAGAUUGACUGGGGUACAGGCAGGGGUGAAGUUGAACGGUACAAGUGACAAGCCAAUGGUAGUGAUGUGGAAAGAAUCAUAUGUUGUUGCAAAGAAGCCGGAACCAGUCAAGUUGGUGGUACCAUGGGCAUCGUCUGCACCCGUAGUUGUUGUGAAAGGUGCUUACAUAGAGCCACUGAUCAUCAAGCUGGUAGUCCAGUUAUCUGCGAUUGAUAGCAAAGUCGUGCCAUGGAAAUAUGAGAAGGUGAUUGUAACAUACAAGGAAAAGAAAUUGAGGAAGAGAGUUGUGAAGCGCAAGGGUUGACUCGAUCGGGGCGUUUCUUCGCUCCCGAGGAGUUGAGAAAGGCUAGGGCUACUAAAGACUGUCCACUAAUGGUCAAGAAGAUCGUUACGGAGGAGGAAGCGGAUGAGUUUCUAAGAAAAAUGAAGGUACAGGACUAUUCCAUUGUCGAGCAACUGAGAAAAACACCGGCCCAGAUCUCGUUGUUGUCAUUGUUGAUCCACUAUGAUGAUCAUCGCUGAGCUUUAAUGAAGAUAUUAAAUGAAGCUCAUGUGCCUGAUAAGACUUCAGUGAACCACUUGGAGACAAUUGCUAAUAAGAUCUUUGAGGUAAAUAGGAUAUCGUUUUCGGAUGAUGAGUUGCCCGUGGAAGGAAUAGAGCAUAAUAAAGCCCUUUACUUGACAGUCAAAUGUGAAGAUUCAGUGGUGACCAGGGCAUUGAUAGAUAAUGGGUCUAGUGCCAAUAUUUGCCUGAUGCCUACACUAAACAAGCUAAAGAUCGUAAUGACAAAAUCUGCAGGAACAAUGUACGUGUCCGAGGGUUUGACGUAGGUGGAACAGACACGGUGGGGGACAUUAUCCUCGAGUAGACCAUCGGCCCAGUUGAUUUUACUAUGGAAUUCCAGGUGUUGGACGCUGCAGUAUCAUACAAUCUUUUGUUGGGACGACCAUGGAUCCAUGCAGCUAAAGCAGUGCCCUCCUCACUACAUCAAAUGGUCAAAUUUGAAUGGGACAAGCAAGAGGUGGUGCUACAUGGAGAAGACCCCACAAGCACUGGAGGUGAUGCUAUUGUGCCCUUUAUAGAAACUGAUGACGAUAAGGGGCCAUGGGUCUAUCAGGUUUUUGGCACGAUCACCGUGAACAAGGUACCAGAGGGUAAAAGUAUUCCACUUCCCCUGGUAGAAUCUGCAACCGUCAUGGUGGUUUAUCACGGUGAACAAGGUACCAGAGGGUAAAAGCAUUCCACUUCCCCGGUUAGCAGCUGCAACCAUCAUGGUGGUUACAGAAAUGAUGGGUAAUGUGUUCGUGCCAGGAAAAGGUCUGGGUUCUAAGCUUCAGGGCAUUGUUCAACUUGCCUAAGAAUUUAGACACCUUCGAGCUGGGGUUCAAGCCAACAACAAUAGAUAUCAGAAGGGCUCGUAAGUUGAAAAAGAAAGCUUGGGUUCUCCCCAAACCAAUUCCACGUCUGUCCAAGUCCUUCGCUAGGCCGAGGGCUAAAAAGUAGUUAGCAACACAGGCGACGGGUUCAUUAAUUGGUGCAAAGGGGAAUUUGGACGAAGUGUUUGAAAGGGUAUUUGCAGAAGUAAACAUGGUUGAGGCUGGUGAAGGUUCCAGUAAUGCAGGCAUUCAGCACAUUGGGCCACAUGCUAGGAUGAAUAAUUGGAAAGCCACUCCUCUGCCAGUUCGGAGGGAGUCGUGGUAGUGGGACUCUAUUUUUCUUUUUUAUUUUCACCUGGAUUAUUCCAGGGUUUGUAAUGAUUGUGACUAUGUUCCGUCCAUUUAGAUGAGCUAAGCCAUGUUAUCUUUACAUUUUAAUGAAAUGCAAUUUUCUUUCCUUCUUCUUUCCUAAUUUUGUUUUCAUUUUUCUUUUCUGUACAGUUCUUUUUAUGCUGAUAUCAAUGACAUGACAUGCAUGAGGACUUCUCGGCCCAUUUUUAUAAGCCAACCUAACUCAGAAAUAAUAAUACAAGAAAUUGAAUGUGAUGAUGAAGAGGAAUAUGAUGAUGAUGAUGAUGAAGCCUCUGAGGAAAUUAGUAAGGAAUUAAAACACUUUGAGGAAAAACCCAAACCGAACUUAAAUGACACAGAAACAAUUAACCUAGAGGACCAAGAUAAUGUCCGUGAAACUAAUAUAAGUGUUCAUCUGGAGCCGCAGCUCAAGGAAGAAAUAAUCGCGGCACUAUUGGAAUAUAAAGACGUUUUUGCUUGGUCCUAUGAUGAUAUGCCGGGACUGAGUAUCGAUUUGGUGGCUCACAAAUUGCCUACCGAUCCAUCACUCCCACCUGUUGAGCACAAACUGAGAAAGUUCAAAACAUACAUAAGUGUGAAGAUUAAAAAAGAGAUUACUAAGCAGUUUGAUGCAAAGGUCAUUCGGGUUACACGGUAUCCCACCUGGUUAGCUAAUGUUGUGCCUGUGCCAAAGAAAGAUGGCAAAACCAGGGUGUGCGUUAAUUAUCGAAAUCUCAACAAGGCGUGUCCAAAAGACAACUUUCUAUUGCCAAACAUCCACAUAUUGAUCGACAAUUGUGCCAAACAUGAGAUUGGUUCUUUUGUGGAUUGUUAUGCGGGUUAUUAUCAGAUCUAAAUGGACGAGGAAGAUGCAGAAAAGACGGCAUUCAUCACACCGUGGGGAACAUAUUGCUAUGGGGUCAUUCCAUUCGGUUUGAAAAAUGCCGGGGCAACUUACAUGAGGGUUAUGACAACGAUCUUCCAUGAUAUGAUACAUAAAGAGAUUGAGGUGUACGUAGAUGAUCUGAUUGUGAAAUCGAGGAAGCAGUCUGACCACGUCAGGGAUUUGAGGAAAUUAUUUCAAAGGCUUCGCAUGUACAACCUCCAACUCAAUCCUGGGCGAAGUGUGCUUUUUGUGUGCCAUCUGGAAAUUUGCUAGGGUUUGUAGUCAAUCGCCGGGGUAUUGAAUUGGAUCCAUCGAAGAUUAAGGCCAUUCAGGAAUUGCCGCCCUCCGAGAAACAAAACUGAUGUGAUGAGUUUGUUGGGAAGGUUGAACUACUAUAGCAAUUUUAUUGAUCAGCUCACCACUACUUGUGAACCCAUUUUCAAACUGCUAAAGAAAGAUGAUGCGGUUAAAUGGAUGGAUGUCAGAAAGCUUUUGAUAAGAUAAACGGAUAUUUGUUGAAUCCGCCCGUGUUGGUUCCGCCAGAACUAGGGAGGCCUUUGAUUCUGUAUCUGAUAGUCUUGGAUAAUUCGUUUGACUGUGUACUGGGGUAGCAUGAUGUCACAGGCAGGAAGGAGCAGGCGAUCUACUAUCUCAGCUAGAAUUUCACGUCUUACGAGGUUAAGUACACUCAUCUGGAGAGGACGUGUUGCGCCCUAACUUGGGCGGCGCAAAAAUUGAAACAUUAUUUGUCGUCCUACACUACUUACCUCAUAUCUCGGUUAGAUCCACUAAAGUAUAUUUUCCAGAAGCCUAUGCCCACGGGAAGGCUUGCAAAGUGGCAGAUUUUGCUUACAGAGUUUGAUAUUAUCUAUGUGAUCCGGACUGCAAUGAAAGCGCAGGCUUUAGCUGAUCACUUGGCUGAGAAUCCAAUUGAUGACGAUUAUGAGCCUUUAAAAACUUACUUCCCUGAUGAAGAGGUAAUGCAUAUUGAUGAGUUGGAGCAGGUAGAGAAACCAGGAUGGAAACUGUUCUUUGAUGGAGCGGCAAAUAUGAAAGGCGUGGGAAUAGGAGCCGUACUUAUUUCUGAAACAGGUAAAGAAACCAGGAUGGAAACUGUUCUUUGAUGGAGCGGCAAAUAUGAAAGGCGUGGGAAUAUGAGCCGUACUUAUUUCUGAAACAGGUCAGCACUAUCCUUUUACGGCUCAGCUUCGUUUUUAUUGUACGAACAACAUGGCGAAAUAUGAAGCAUGUAUUCUGGGACUGAGGUUGGCUCUAGAUAUGGGAGCCGUACUUAUUUCUGAAACAGGUGAGCACUAUCCUGUUACGGCUCAGCUUCAUUUUUAUUGUACGAACAACAUGGCGGAAUAUGAAGCAUGUAUUCUGGGACUGAGAUUGGCUCUAGAUAUGGGUGUCCAGGAAGUCUUAGUCAUGGGUGACUCGGACCUACUGGUACACCAAAUUCAAGGAGAAUGGAAAAGCGGUAUUUGAAAUUGAUACCAUACCGAUAUUGUUUGCAUGAGCUUUGUCAACGGUUUCAGUCAGUUGGCUCUAGAUCAUGGGUGACUCGGACCUACUGGUACACCAAAUUCAAGGAGAAUUGGGAACACGGAAUUUGAAGUUGAUACCGUACCGACAGUGUUUGCACGAGCUCUGUCAACGGUUUUAGUCGAUAGAGUUCAGGCAUAUCCCGAGGGUCCAUAAUGAGGUUGCCGACGCUUUGGCUACUUUGGCGUCGAUGUUGCACCAUCUAGAUAAGCCUUACGUGGACCCAUUGCAUAUUUAGGUCUACGAUCAGAAUGCUUAUUGCAAUAUGAUAUAAGAGGAGCUUGACGGUGAGCGUGGUUUCAUGACAUAAUAGAAUAUAUCAGGAUGGGAGUAUAUCCGGCACAGGCCACCAGAGAUCAGAAAGUAACUAUUCGUCGAUUGGCAAGUGGGUUUUUCCUGAGUGGAGGAGUACUGUACAAAAGAACACCAGAUCUCGGACUAUUGAGGUGCAUGGAUGCGAGGCAAGCCACGGCUAUCAUGACUACGGUACAUUCUAGAGUCCGUGGACCGCACAUGAACGGAUAUGUUUUGGCAAAGAAGAUCUUAUGGGUAGGGUAUUAUUGGCUUACUAUGGAGCGAGAUUGUAUCAUUUUGUACGCAAAUGUCAUCAGUGCCAAUUGCAUGGAGUUUUGAUUCAUUCUCCACCGUCAGAAUUGCAUACGAUGUCAGUGCCAUGGCCUUUUGUGGCUUGGAGCAUGGAUGUUAUUGGGCCGAUUGAUCCAGCGGCAUUAAAUGGGCAUAGGUUUAUUCUGGUAGCAAUAGAUUAUUUUACCAAGUGGGUGGAAGUGAAGACAUUCAAGUCUUUGACUAAGAAAGCCGUGGUGGAUUUUGUGCAUGCGAACAUUGUUUGUCGGUUUGGUAUACCAAAGGUGAUUAUCACAGACAAUGGGGAUAAUCUCAACAGUCAUUUGAUGAAGGAAACAAAUGAGCAGUUCAAGAUUACUCAUCGUUAUUCUACUCCAUACCGCCCUAAAGCAAAUGAAGCAGUUGAAGCGGCCAACAAGAACAUAAAGAAAAUACUACGAAAAAUGGUUGAAGGGUCUAGACAGUGGCAUGAGAAGUUUCCUUUUGCAUUGUUGGGAUAUCGCACCACCAUUUGUACUUCGGUGGGGAUUCAAUAUUACUCACCGUCAUUCUACUCCAUAUCGCCCUAAAGCAAAUGGUGCGGUUGAAGCAGACAACAAGAAUAUCAAGAAAAUACUGCGGAAGAUGGUUGACGGGUCUAGACAGUGGCAUGAGAAGUUGCCUUUUUCAUUGUUGGGAUAUUACACCACCGUUCGUACUUCGGUGGGAGCGACUCCUUAUUCACUGGUGUAUGGCACCGAGGCAGUAAUGCCCGCAGAAGUGGAUAUCCCAUCACUUCGAAUCAUUGCGGAGGCUGAAAUCGACGAUGAUGAAUGGGUAAAGACCAGUAUGGAACAAUUGAGUUUGAUUGAUGAGAAAAGGUUGGCAUCAGUUUGCCAUGGUACCAGCGAAGGAUGCCAAAAGUGUACAACAUGAAAGUACGUCUGAGGAAGUUCGAGGUCGGACAGUUGGUGUUGAGGCAUAUUUUGCCCCAUUGGGCCGAAAAUAAAGGAAAGUUUGCCCCAAACUGGCAAGGGCCAUUUGUAGUAACCAGAGUGUUGUCUAAUGGCGCACUAUAUUUGACAGAUAUAGAAGGAAAAUGUGUAGAAAUGGCCAUCAAUUCCGAUGCGGUCAAGAAAUAUUAUGUAUGAUUUGUCUGAAUGUACUUGCUCGUAUUUGGCAGAUUUUAAAGAUUGAAAUGAAGAAGGCAUUUCGUUCUGCUACCAAACACAUUUAUCCCUUGUCAUCCCCUUUGAGCCUUACUUAUUUUCGUUCAUACCCCUAUUUUGGAAUCAACGGCACAAUAAAAAACGCAGGUGCCAAACAUAAAGAUAAAUGGAAGAAAAGAAAGGAAAAAGAAAAUAAACGAAAGGAAGAAAAAGAAAAGAUAAAAGAAGAAAAGGAAAGAAAAGAAAAGAAGAGAAAGGAAAAAUGAAAAGCCAGAAAGAAAAGAAAAGAAAACAAAGGAAGAGAAAAAAAUAAUCACAACAAAAGUAAUUAUGAUAACGUGAACUACGUUUGACUUGAUCCCGAAAGAUACGUAGGCAGCCUUCCUCUGAGGUUCAGCCAUACCAAAAUAAAAUUCCAAAAGUCCCCAAGCAAGAAACUGGGGUAGAAGUUGUGAUUGUUGUGAGAGAUUAGAUUCCGAAAGUUGUUAUUUAACCCAUUUUGAAAUUGUUUUGAGCCUUUUUAUACCUUUAUUUCUAAACCAUCCAAAAGCCUACAUUACAGUCCAAAGAAAGACCUCAUGAUCAAAUUUUGAGAAAUGCCAAGUCGAGCAGGAAAAUGUGAAUCACUACAGGGGCAACACUUUGGUCCAAGCAAGAAAGUAAAAGAAAAAAAUGAGAGAGUCUUAUUGGUGAAAACCCUCACGGGAACCGUAAGGCGAUGUGAGGUGAGAGAAAAUAAAAAUGAGAGAGUCUUAGCGGUGAAAACCCUUACGGACACCCUAGGGCGAAAGUAAGAGGAGAAAUGGCAAGCUGAGAAAGUCUGUUGGUGAAAACUGUUUCGUGGCAUCGCAUGUUAAAUGAGGUUAAGGUUUGGGUAAUGUAAUCAAGUGAUUUAAGUUCUGGGCAAUAAAGUAUGGCAAUCGAGAGAUAGGUUGGGCCGGUUAGUCUGAAAUGCAUGUCAUGAUCAUUGGUGCCAGCUGUCCCGGCCAAACAAGGUUCUUUUCUUUUUUCCUUUUCAACAGUCAUCUGAUUUUGGAUUCUUCGUAUCCUUAACUCAUAAAAUUAUUGCAUUUCAUUCUCUUUUGGGGUUUUGUUUGUCUAAAAUGUUCCAGUGUCAGUUUUGUUCAAUGCAAAGGGGAAAGGAUUUCAAAGCCCACUGUCGACUUCCAAAAAUGGUAAAGCAUAAUGUGGCCAGAGAAUGCCAACAACAAUGUGAUGUAAAGUGAAGUAGGGGAAGUCGCCGGAAGUUUCAUCGGCAGAAUAUUUGGGAAAUAGUGGGAAAUGUGAAGGUUUAGGAAAAAAGGGUCAGAAUAGCGAAACAACGGUACAAGUACAAAAGCACUCAGUUGCAAGAAAUUAGGGAAGAUGAAAGUCGGUCAGAAAGUCAGGCAGUUCAGAGGAAGUCAGAAAACACAAAGCAAGGCAAUGGAAGGAUGAUGCAGCAAGAAUGCCAUCAACUAUCCACCAUUUUUAAACUAACAAAUUUUUGGUGAUUGAAUUAGGGGCAGAAAAAUCAUUUGUCAAGAGAAGCAGGAGAGAAAAGCAGGCAGUAAUCAAGUUUAAUCGCAAGUGUGGCAUGGUAAUGAGGAGUAGCAUAAGGAGAUGUUGAAAUCAGGAGCCUCCUAAAAAACAGAGGAAUACAUCUCGGUCUUUGACUUUUAAAGUUACAAUUUCAGUCUUGUCGCAAUGAAAGUUUUAGUUUUUAAUCCUUAUUAGUAUGUGGUAACAAGCCUCAGUUUUCCCAAAUUGGGGCAGCAGGUUUUUGUUGUUUUGUCUAUUUUUGUGAAGUCAGGAGCCCGCCUGGAGAAUAGAGGAAUACAUUGCAAGUUUUAGUAGUCAGGAGCCCGCCUAAAGAAUAGAGGAAUACAAUUCAGUUAGCAAUCAGGAGCCCGCCUGGAUGACAGAGGAAUACAUGCAUUUACAAUUCAAAAAUUAUGAACCCGCCUGAAGAAUAGAGGUGGUACCAUUCAAGUUGUUAGUUUUUAAAUCAAAUCCCUUCAUUUAUGAUGGUGAUCAGGUGCCCGCCUGGAGAACAUAGGUCCGCAUUUCAAAUUUCAGAAGUCAGGAGUCUGCUUGGAGAGCAGAGACAUACAUUUCAAUCAAGAGUUUGCCUGGAGAAUAGAGACAUGCAUUUAGAACUUUUAAAGUCAGAAGUCCGCCUGGAGAACAGAGACGUACAUGUCAAGUUUGAAGUUAGGAGUCCGCCUGGAGAACAGAGAAAUAUAUUUCAAGUCUGAAGUCAGGAGUCCGCCUGGAGAACAGAGACAUAAAUUUCAAGUUAGCAGUCAGGAGUCCACCUGGAGAACGGAGACAUACAUUUCAAGUUAGCAGUCAGGAACCCGCCUGAAAAACAUGGGUGAUUUAAUUCAAAUUUUUAGUUUCCAAUAAAUAUCCUCGUCUAUUUUGAAGUCAGGAGUCCUCCUGGAGAACAGAGACAUACAAUUCAAAAAUUAGUAGUCAGGAGCCCGCCUGGAGAAUGGAGGUGUUAAAUUUUAGGUUAUAUUUGAAAUUGGGAGCCCGCCUGGAGAAUGGAGGUGUUAGAUUUUAAGUAUAGUCACAGUCAAGAGCCCGCCUGGAGAACAGAGGUAUACAAUUCAAGUUUAAGAAAUCAGGAUCCCACCUGUACAACAGAGAUAUUUCAAAUCAAGUUUAAUUCAAUUUCUAUUAAUAUCCAGUAACACGUACCCAGUUUCCAAACUGGGGCAGAAUGUUUUCUUUGUUUUGACUAUUUUUGUAAAGUCAGGAGCCCACCUGGAUAACAGAGGAAUACAUUCAAGUUCAAGUUUAUUCAAGUUCAGCAAGGUGGAGAGAAAGAACAUCUCAGUUAGCAAGUUGAAGUAACAACAAUAGAUUUUACCAAGGAAACACAAGACAACAAGGAAGUACAAUAUGCAAGUUUGAAGAUUGUAGAUAAGAUUUUUGUAAUGAGUAGUUUAUAGCUUAGGCUAGCUUCUUUUAUUUUUGAUUGAUGUAAUAAGGAAGGUCAGCAGGCAGUAGCAGCAGCGGCAAUUGCAGUGAAAUCACAGCUACUGAUAGUCCCAGCUACCAGACAUUCCCGAACUACACUGACCUGAUUCCUGUUUAGCCCAGGAUAUGUAGGCAACCUCUGAAGCAGGGUGCGGUCAAACUUUUCAAAAAUGCUUCAUACGAAAUUUUCAAAUGGGUAAAAAUCACUCAUAUUUGCUCACUUGUCUUUGCACGAAAACUGUUUGUGUUUCCGAGCAAUGAGGGCAGCUGUGAGCACAUGAUUUUUGCCAUAUAUAUGAAUAAUUCCCAAAAAUAUCCAAACAAAAUGACUUUUCCUUAUUUUUACAAUUUUUUUGAAUUUUUAUAUUAUUUUUUGUUAUUUGUUUGCAUUUUAUUUGCGCAUGUUAAUUCAUAUGAAAAUACAAAAAUAUGCAUUUGCAUUUAGGACAUAAUUUCAUAUUUUUAGGAUCAAUUUGGGGUUAGUUAAUCUUAGAAAAUGCAUGAAAAAUCACAAAUAUAUUUCAUUUUUGCAUCUUUAUUAGUUUGAUUAUGAAAUUGUCGCAAAAUAGUUUUUAAAGUAAUUUUAGGUAUUAAUUAGUUUAGUUUGAUUUUUUAUGUUAUUUCUGCAAUCUUUUAAAUCUACAAAAAUUAUAAAAAUUACAAAAAGGGAAAAUUAAAAUAAAGAGAAACUAAUUGAAAUGAAAAGCAAAAACAAAGAAGGGAUCUUCAAUUAAAAAAAACAAUUUGGGCUGAUCAAGUUUAAUUCCCCAUCCCCAAAACCUAAUCCGGCCCACACUCAAUCCCCAAUACCCGGCCGGACCACCCUAUUAACCAAACGACGUCGUUUUGUCGUCUCUCAAUCUUGGCCGUCGAGGUUCAUCAGAUCAAGCGGCCAUGAACUAAAACCCAUUUAUUAUAUAACUGUCCUAACCGACCCCCUACCCCCAUCGUCUCCCUCACUCCCCAUCUUCAGAAACCCUAGCCCAGCCGUCCUGAAAUUCCUUCGCCGUCAAUGGCGACGCCGGGGUCCAAACCCAACAAACACCGUUAGCUCUCCUCACUAUCCUCUUCCCAACCUUGCCUCCAUCCUACUUCAAAUCUAAGAACAACCCUUCAAAGUUUAGUUUAAAGUUCUGAUUCGAAACUCUAGUUCCUCCAAACGCACCCAAAUCAAUACCAUACAAUCUCCUUAACAUCCUUUACCCAAAUCUCAACCCAAAACCCUACAAAUCCGUUUUCAAAUCAUCAUGUCUGAGAUCUAGGUUUUCAGCUACACCUGUUCUCAUGCGGUUCCAGACAAUGUUACGCGUUUGUUGUGUCAAAAUGAACGCAUGAUAUUAUCUAGAGCCGUAUCGGAAGUCAAUCAGGUAGAUAUGAAAUCCAAGUUCAAGAGCCUGGAGUAAAGUUCAAUUGGUGAGUUAUUCGUUCUGUCCAUUUUCGUCUUCUCUUUCUCGUGUUAGUUUGAGUUAAAGUCCGUUGAUUCCAAGAUCACUUUUUGAGAAUUGUUCUUCGUUCUUUUGGGGAUGUUUGUUCGAUAUAGGUUUUAGGGUUAAUUUGUCAUCUGUUAAAUUGUUAGUUGGAUUAGUAUAGUUAACAUAGUGAUUAGUACUUUGCUUGCAGUUUUUUGUCGAUCCAAUAUUUGAUUAUCAACUUAUUUUCUUUUGAUCUAUUUUAAUCUUGUAUAAAUUGUUUGGUUCUCGUUUAAUUGGAUUAUUAUUUUGUUAGUUUACGCUUAGUUUAAUGGUUCUUCCGUAUUCAUUGGUAGUUUAAUUAAGCUUAAGCUUUGGAUAUAGCUGAGUAGUGUAGUUGAACAAACCUUGGUUAAAGUUUAACUAAGGCAAAAGAGGUUUGGUCAGGUCAGUAAUUUUUAGGAGUUUUCAAGGGUAGUUUAGGCAUAGAAAAGGGUAGUUCUGAUAAGAAUAGUAAUUUCAGAAUAUAAGAAAGGGUAACUUAGGAAUUGUAUAACCAAAAGAGCAUCCUAGAUGCUUCUAGAUUGGGAUGAAACUGUAGCUUUCAGUUUUUGGUAGUACUUACUUGGCUAGCAAGAUAAAAUUAUAGGUUUUAAAUAAAAAGGGGAAUAGGGACUGAUGUGCAAACCCUUUGACUGAAAUUUUCUUUCUUCUUGGCCUAUUUAAAUGCAUCAAUUACCUUGUGAAAGGGCGUUCUUCUUCAGCCAUUUUUGGUAGCUCACAAAACACUUUUUCCACUCUCCUAACUUGAAGAAAACCAUCUGAAUUUCAGAAAGAAAAUCAAAAAGAAAAAAAACAAACAGAAAGCAUUUUGGGUACUGUUACAUUGGUGAUUUACUUUAUUUUGAUCGAUUUUCUCCAUCUGGGAUUACUAGUUUGUUCUUGAGCGUUUGGGUUGAAUUAAACUGAGAUUUUAUAGAGUUUUGAUGCGUGUUGAUGUUAUGGAUGUCAUCUGAGUUCGUGUUUGGUAUUAGUGCUAUUUUGGUCAAAUUCUCCUCCUGUUUGGUACCUGGGCUAUUGAUCCAUUUUCUGGGCUGAGUUUACUCUGUAGUUCAAUUAUUUAUGCUGUCUGCUGCUGAUUUUUCUUCUCUUCAUUGCUGCUGCUGAUAUAAACUGUGAAGCAUGGGUUUGAAACUGAAUAUGAAAUGACAUUUUGAUUCGAAAUCUUAAACUGAUUCAUUUUGUAAUCUGUCAGUUAGUUCAAUGUGUAUUUGAAGUUGUUUCAUCGAGCAAGAUUUGGUCCAGAGAAAGGAAUUGCAAUAGUAUUGUAAUAUGUGGGUU